GACGAACGCUGGCGGCGUGCCUAAUACAUGCAAGUAGAACGCUGAAGAGAGGAGCUUGCUCUUCUUGGAUGAGUUGCGAGCGGGUGAGUAACGCGUAGGUAACCUGCCUUGUAGCGGGGGAUAACUAUUGGAAACGAUAGCUAAUACCGCAUAACAAUGGAUGACACAUGUCAUUUAUUUGAAAGGGGCAAUUGCUCCACUACAAGAUGGACCUGCGUUGUAUUAGCUAGUAGGUGAGGUAAUGGCUCACCUAGGCGACGAUACAUAGCCGACCUGAGAGGGUGAUCGGCCACACUGGGACUGAGACACGGCCCAGACUCCUACGGGAGGCAGCAGUAGGGAAUCUUCGGCAAUAGGGGCAACCCUGACCGAGCAACGCCGCGUGAGUGAAGAAGGUUUUCGGAUCGUAAAGCUCUGUUGUAAGUCAAGAACGGGUGUGAGAGUGGAAAGUUCACACUGUGACGGUAGCUUACCAGAAAGGGACGGCUAACUACGUG
RNAcentral lists this ribosomal RNA (497 nucleotides) under uncultured bacterium. Its description in RNAcentral is "partial 16S ribosomal RNA". It matches the Rfam family "Bacterial small subunit ribosomal RNA", at positions 28 to 507 of the family's 1533-position model. The record is from RNAcentral.